Macrobrachium nipponense is the source of this 361-nucleotide long non-coding RNA. RefSeq lists it as uncharacterized. The record is from RefSeq and is a predicted model, not a curated record. The transcript is spliced from 3 exons. Lineage: Eukaryota; Metazoa; Arthropoda; Malacostraca; Decapoda; Palaemonidae.
UAUAAACCUUUUCAGAAAGUAGCACCAUGGAGGAAGAUAGUCUUCAGACAACUUAGUCCUAGGCCUACACACAACGAAUUUGACAGAACUUAGCAUCACGAGAUAUUGAUGAAAAGGAAACCGUUUGGGAGAGAAAUCAUGAGUUAACUGGAGUUACUACCAACGUGAAGAGAGAGUGAGUCGCGAAAAUAAAAUGCUGUGAAACUGCGCGUCAGAUUUUCAGAAAACAGCCGAAGGGUUAAACUACCAACACAAGAACUUGCAGAGGAUUAGCCAAAGGGUUAUACUACCACCAAGAUAAGAACUUGCGGGGAAACAGAUGAAGGGUUACACCACCAACUCCACCCAGACAAGAACUUGC